RNAcentral lists this ribosomal RNA (460 nucleotides) under uncultured bacterium. RNAcentral describes it as "partial 16S ribosomal RNA". It matches the Rfam family "Bacterial small subunit ribosomal RNA", at positions 338 to 795 of the family's 1533-position model. The record is from RNAcentral.
CCUACGGGAGGCAGCAGUGAGGAAUAUUGGUCAAUGGGCGCGAGCCUGAACCAGCCAAGUAGCGUGAAGGAUGACUGCCCUACGGGUUGUAAACUUCUUUUAUAAAGGAAUAAAGUGAGGUACGUGUGCCUUUUUGUAUGUACUUUAUGAAUAAGGAUCGGCUAACUCCGUGCCAGCAGCCGCGGUAAUACGGAGGAACCGAGCGUUAUCCGGAUUUAUUGGGUUUAAAGGGAGCGUAGAUGGGUUGUUAAGUUAGUUGUGAAAGUUUGGGGCUCAACCGUAAAAUUGCAAUUGAUACUGGCAGGCUUGAGUGCAGUUGAGGUAGGCGGAAUUCGUGGUGUAGCGGUGAAAUGCGUAGAUAUCACGAAGAACUCCGAUUGCGAAGGCAGCUUACUAAACUGCCACUGACAUUGAGGCUCGAAAGUGUGGGGAUCAAACAGGAUUAGAUACCCCAGUAGUC